CGUACGCACACUGGGACUCUGCGCACAAGGCUAGAGCCCAAGCUCUGGCAACAGUUCUCCAGGCACAUUGUCUGCGCACAAGCUCAAGCCCAAACCUCUACAACCUGGAAGAGCUCCAUUGCCAGUCGCAAGUCUGCCUACACAGACCCCGACUUUUUCAAUGUAUAGACUUCUAGGGCGUGGAAUUUUAGGCACGACGGUCAGUCCCGCAAGCUAACACUUGGCAAGCGACACUUCUUCUAUAGUCCCUAAUCAGUUGCCCCGGCUCCAGAGAGAGGCCACUAAGUGUCCAUUCUCCGAGAAGUUGGUUAGAUCUGAUUUUGGAAGCAAGAAAGAAAAAAAGGUUAUCUCCUCGAGACCACGGGAGAGAAAGAUGAGAAGCGCUAAGGGUUUUUGAAUCCGAGAGUGAAUGCCUCUUAGGGGAAUAUCCUUAACCAAGGAGCGCAUCUUUAGGUAAGUAAUGUUGUUUUCUUAUUCAAGAUGGCAGCAACUCCAAUAGCAACCAUAAGGCAAAUUCCAAAG
Molecule: long non-coding RNA, 522 nt
Organism: Vitis riparia (riverbank grape)
Lineage: Eukaryota; Viridiplantae; Streptophyta; Magnoliopsida; Vitales; Vitaceae
Exons: 2
Source: RefSeq, a predicted model, not a curated record